GCCAGAAGACUGCAUUCAGAGUGUCAGCAAGGGCCUUCUAAGGCAAGAUUAGCUUCUCAGACAACUUCUAAGGCUUGAUGACAGCACCCUGCUCUUUGCCCGACGGGCGAGCUUUGCAUCCUUCUACAGAAAGAGGCCCAUGGAGCCAGGGACACAAUUGUGUCUUCCUGCCUGACCCUGGGAUGUCACACAACAGGUGCUCCCUAAAUACUCUGUAAUCCCAGGCAGCAAUCACUUUGGCACAGGACCUGCACGUUGGAAUUUCAAGAACUGUGGCUAUUUUAAUAAUAUUGCUUCAAGAUAUUAAAGACAGUCUUGUUACUUCUCUGGUGGUCCAGUGGUUAAGAAUCUGCCAUCCAAUGCAGGGGACUUAGUUUCAAUCCCUGGUCUUGGAACUAAGAUCCCACAUGUACAGUUGUCAUUGCGGGCCUUAGGAGGUACCCUUGCAAAGCUUCUUGUGGGAAGUGCUCUGAUUUGUAGGUGGGACUGGAAUACAGGGGCUUCCCUCGUGGCUCAGCAGUAAAGAACCCCCCUGCCAAUGCAGGAGACAUCAGUUCGAUCCCUGGGUCGGGAAUAUCCCAUGGAGAAGGGAGUGGGAAAGAGCCCACUGAUGGGAAAAGACCCUGAUGCUGGCAAAGACUGAAGGCACAUAGAGAAGGGGGCAGCAGAGGAUGAGAUGUGAUAGUAUCACUGACUCAGUGGACAUGAAUUUGAGCAAACUCCGGGAGAUAGCAGAGGACAGAGGAGACUGGCAUGCUACAGCCCAUAGGGUCACAAAGAAUUGGACACAGCUUAGCAACUGAACAACAGCAGCAACAACUAGAAUACAGACUAGAAGAUGAGCGGGAGUGGGCGGGGGCAGAAAACAGAGGGAUUAACAGGAGGAAGAAUUAAAGGUGAAGUAAUCGACGAUCAUCUUGUUGGAACUUUACAAUGGCAAUGGAAAUGUGAGCCAUGCUGGUUCCAAGCCUAGGAAAGACAAAUGAGCUCGAAUGAAGUGAUCAAGCCUCACGGAUGACUCAGCAAGGAGCAAAGAAGAACAUCCAGGACAAAUCUCCCUUAGCCUCAGAGAACCAGAGGCUAAUCUCUGCCAGACCUGGAGGAGUUAAGAAGUCUGAUUAUUAUAAAGUUGGAAGGUGAAAAUGUGACCUUUUCGUUCCUUUAUUCUUUUUAAUUAGAAGAUAGAGACUGUUGUUUGGUGCAAAGCUCCCUAUUAAUUUUUAAAGACAUGAAGGAACACUUACAUGCUUGGGAGUAGAUCUGGGAAGAAUGUCUACCCCUGGUUUAGGUCCCUGCUCCUUCCCCCUGCCCUCACACCCCACCCCCAAGAGGUUUGUUCAAUUUGAAUUGUAUCUUUUUGUUAAAUUUUUGUUAGUGUGUGAACAUCUGGGUAUUUCUACUUGAAUUUAAUACUUGAUUGUAUAGUGUACUUUUGGAAAUGCUUUUUAUGAAAGGAUUUCAUUACUUAAUGGAGCAGGGUAAUGUUUAAAGUAAAAUCAGGGUUUGAUCUGUAUUGAUCUGGAGAAGUUCCACCGGAUGUCAAAUGUUUAUGGUUUUGCAGGUCCCAAUUCUAAGAAUCAGGGAAAGACAUUAAAACAUCAAGAUAAAUAAAGGUACAAAGAAAUUUGUGUAAGGAGUGACUCAGGACAUUCAUUAUUUUAGGAGAAGAGAAUUAUUAAUGAAUUACUUUAAUGGUAGAAUUGCUAAUUGCUAUGUUACCUUUAUGGCUGAAUAGAGCAAAUGUGGAAAUUCUGUUUCGCUUAUAACUUAGCAUGUAAUUGUGUGAGUGUGCCC
This is a long non-coding RNA of Bos taurus (domestic cattle), 1794 nucleotides long. The record is from Ensembl. Lineage: Eukaryota; Metazoa; Chordata; Mammalia; Artiodactyla; Bovidae.